AAAAUGCAAGGAAUCCAAAUAUGACCUCCCUUUCUUCCAACUCUCACUCUAUAAUCAGAAAAGUGGAGUUUAACAUUGAGGUAUCAAACCUGAGUUGCUUCGAUUUGACCUCAAAACAACUCAGGAAGAUUGCCUACAUUGGUAGGACGUCAGUCAUCCACAAAUUGAGCCAAGAUCUUAAGAAAUGAGUGAGAAUAAAAGAGAAGAAAAUUGAAGAAAAUCACCUUCGG
This 230-nucleotide long non-coding RNA is filed under the name Lathyrus oleraceus (garden pea). RNAcentral describes it as "Pisum sativum (pea) long non-coding RNA (PSAT_LNC026586)". The record is from RNAcentral. Lineage: Eukaryota; Viridiplantae; Streptophyta; Magnoliopsida; Fabales; Fabaceae.